RNAcentral lists this ribosomal RNA (253 nucleotides) under uncultured bacterium. RNAcentral describes it as "partial 16S ribosomal RNA". It matches the Rfam family "Bacterial small subunit ribosomal RNA", at positions 524 to 776 of the family's 1533-position model. The record is from RNAcentral.
UACGUAGGGUGCGAGCGUUAAUCGGAAUUACUGGGCGUAAAGCGUGCGCAGGCGGUUCGUUAAGUCAGAUGUGAAAGCCCCGGGCUCAACCUGGGAACUGCAUUUGAAACUGGCGGGCUCGAGUGUGGCAGAGGGGGGUGGAAUUCCACGUGUAGCAGUGAAAUGCGUAGAGAUGUGGAGGAACACCGAUGGCGAAGGCAGCCCCCUGGGCUAACACUGACGCUCAGGCACGAAAGCGUGGGGAGCAAACAGG